Molecule: long non-coding RNA, 578 nt
Organism: Cydia splendana
Lineage: Eukaryota; Metazoa; Arthropoda; Insecta; Lepidoptera; Tortricidae
Exons: 2
Source: RefSeq, a predicted model, not a curated record
UGAAUUUCAAUAAAAUAUCGAUAUAGUGGUGAAACUCUGUACACAUUCAACGUACAUUUAUACAUAUUUUAGGCUACAAACUUCAAAAUGAUAUUUUCUAUAUUUAUUGUAACGUUAUGGAUGACAGAAGCCAUUCCUUGGGAGUACCACCGCUGGCCUCCUGUCCACACAAAUACAUUACAAACACAACAAGGCAAAAUACCACUCAACGGAAUCAACUACAAAAAAAAACCAGUAUAUCAAAUGUAUAUACAGAGAAAACAUAUCCCAAAGAUGGUCAAAGUAUAUUAUGCUCCAGAGAAAAGAUUUGAUGAGCUCCAAGUUUUUACUGAUACGCCAUCAAGAAGACUAUUUGUUCAUCAUGAUAUUUUACCUUUAAGUCAUUUAGUUAGUGAUUUUGACAAUGAUAAUGUAAACUCUGUAAUUGAAAAAGAUAAUGUCCUAAAUGAUAUUAAUGGAGUUAAUGAUGAUGGAAGCGAGAAACGGGCUAUUGUUGAAGAAAUGGAAGAGAAAAACGACAAUUUUGAUUUUUGGUGGCCGGUUUGAGCUUUUUUUAGAAAUAAAAACUGUGAUGUUGU